UAAUUCCGUGCCAGCAGCCGCGGUAAUACGGAAGGUGCAAGCGUUAUCCGGUUUUAUUGGGUUUAAAGGGUGCGUAGGCGGCUUAUUAAGUCAGUUGUGAAAUCCUAGUGCUUAACGUUAGAACUGCGAUUGAUACUGAUAGGCUUGAGUCAAGAAGAGGUAAGUAGAAUUUAUGGUGUAGUAGUGAAAUGCUUAGAUAUCAUAAGGAAUACCAAAAGCGAAGGCAGCUUACUGGUCUUGAACUGACGCUGAGGCACGAAAGCGUGGGGAGCAAACAGGAUUAGAUACCCUGGUAGUCCACGCCGUAAACGAUGAUCACUCGAUAUACACGUAGAUCGUGUGUGUCCAAGCGAAAGCGUUAAGUGAUCCACCUGGGGAGUAUACUCGCAAGGGUGAAACUCAAAGGAAUUGACGGGGGUCCGCACAAGCGGUGGAGUAUGUUGUUUAAUUCGAUAAUACGCGAGGAACCUUACCUGGGCUAGAAUGUGUUUUGCUACCUUGAGAAAUUGAGGGUUCCUUCGGGACAGGACACAAGGUGCUGCAUGGCUGUCGUCAGCUCGUGCCGUGAGGUGUUGGGUUAAGUCCUAUAACGAGCGCAACCCUUUUACUUAAUUGCCAGCACGUAAUGGUGGGGACUUUAAGUAGACUGCCCGUGUAAGCGGGAGGAAGGAGAGGAUGAGGUCAAGUCAUCAUGGCCUUUAUGCCCAGGGCUACAAACGUACUACAAUGGCGUGUACAGAGGGAAGCUACUUGGUAACAAGAUGCAAAUCUCAAAAGCACGUCUCAGUUCAGAUUGGGGUCUGCAAUUCGACCCCAUGAAGUUGGAAUCGCUAGUAAUCGCGUAUCAGCAAUGACGCGGUGAAUACGUUCUCGGACCUUGUACACACCGCCCAUCAAGCCAUGGGA
RNAcentral lists this ribosomal RNA (906 nucleotides) under Cardinium endosymbiont of Cavernocypris sp. 1 MM-2022. RNAcentral's name for it is "bacterial SSU rRNA". It matches the Rfam family "Bacterial small subunit ribosomal RNA", at positions 498 to 1409 of the family's 1533-position model. RNAcentral also lists the same sequence under 1 other name. Lineage: Bacteria; Pseudomonadati; Bacteroidota; Cytophagia; Cytophagales; Amoebophilaceae. The record is from RNAcentral.